This 467-nucleotide ribosomal RNA is filed under the name uncultured bacterium. RNAcentral's name for it is "partial 16S ribosomal RNA". It matches the Rfam family "Bacterial small subunit ribosomal RNA", at positions 356 to 816 of the family's 1533-position model. The record is from RNAcentral.
UGGGAAUUUUGGACAAUGGGGCAACCCUGAUCCAGCAAUGCCGCGUGUGUGAAGAAGGCCUUCGGGUUGUAAAGCACUUUUGUCCGGAAAGAAAACGUCGUGGUUAAUACCCGUGGCGGCUGACGGUACCGGAAGAAUAAGCACCGGCUAACUACGUGCCAGCAGCCGCGGUAAUACGUAGGGUGCAAGCGUUAAUCGGAAUUACUGGGCGUAAAGCGUGCGCAGGCGGUCCGCUAAGACAGAUGUGAAAUCCCCGGGCUUAACCUGGGAACUGCAUUUGUGACUGGCGGGCUAGAGUAUGGCAGAGGGGGGUAGAAUUCCACGUGUAGCAGUGAAAUGCGUAGAGAUGUGGAGGAAUACCGAUGGCGGAGGCAGCCCCCUGGGCCAAUACUGACGCUCAUGCACGAAAGCGUGGGGAGCAAACAGGAUUAGAUACCCUGGUAGUCCACGCCCUAAACGAUGUCAAC